GAUGAAGAACGCAGCGAAAUACGAUACGUAAUGUGAAUUGCAAAUUCAGUGAAUCAUCGAGUCUUUGAACGCACAUUGCGCCCCCUGGUAUUCCGGGGGGCAUGCCUGUCCGAGCGUCAUUGCUGCCCUCAAGCACGGCUUGUGUGUUGGGCCCCGUCCUCCGAUCCCGGGGGACGGGCCCGAAAGGCAGCGGCGGCACCGCGUCCGGUCCUCGAGCGUAUGGGGCUUUGUCACCCGCUCUGUAGGCCCGGCCGGCGCUUGCCGAUCAACCCAAAUUUUUUAUCCAGGUUGACCUCGGAUCAGGUAGGGAUACCCGCUGAACUUAAGCAUAUCAAUAAGCGGAGGA
This 346-nucleotide unclassified non-coding RNA is filed under the name soil metagenome. Its description in RNAcentral is "partial contains 5.8S ribosomal RNA, internal transcribed spacer 2, and large subunit ribosomal RNA". The stretch from base 1 to 119 matches the Rfam family "5.8S ribosomal RNA", at positions 35 to 154 of the family's 154-position model. The record is from RNAcentral.